Molecule: ribosomal RNA, 467 nt
Filed under: uncultured bacterium
Lineage: Bacteria
Description: partial 16S ribosomal RNA
Rfam family: Bacterial small subunit ribosomal RNA
Source: RNAcentral
GACGAACGCUGGCGGCGUGCUUAACACAUGCAAGUCGAACGGAAAGGCCCUGCUUUUGUGGGGUGCUCGAGUGGCGAACGGGUGAGUAACACGUGAGUAACCUGCCCUUGACCUUGGGAUAACUUCAGGAAACUGGGGCUAAUACCGGAUAGGAGCUCCUGCUGCAUGGUGGGGGUUGGAAAGUUUCGGCGGUUGGGGAUGGACUCGCGGCUUAUCAGCUUGUUGGUGGGGUAGUGGCUUACCAAGGCUUUGACGGGUAGCCGGCCUGAGAGGGUGACCGGCCACAUUGGGACUGAGAUACGGCCCAGACUCCUACGGGAGGCAGCAGUGGGGAAUAUUGCACAAUGGGCGGAAGCCUGAUGCAGCAACGCCGCGUGCGGGAUGACGGCCUUCGGGUUGUAAACCGCUUUCGCCUGUGACGAAGCGUGGGUGACGGUAAUGGGUAAAGAAGCACCGGCUAACUACGU